This 253-nucleotide ribosomal RNA is filed under the name uncultured bacterium. RNAcentral describes it as "partial 16S ribosomal RNA". It matches the Rfam family "Bacterial small subunit ribosomal RNA", at positions 524 to 776 of the family's 1533-position model. The record is from RNAcentral.
UACGUAGGGUGCGAGCGGUAAUCGGAAUUACGGGGCGUAAAGCGUGCGCAGGCGGUUCGUCGUGUCUGAUGUGAAAGCCCCGGGCUUAACCUGGGAAUGGCAUUGGAAACUGGCGGACUCGAGUGUGGCAGAGGGGGGUGGAAUUCCGCGUGUAGCAGUGAAAUGCGUAGAGAUGCGGAGGAACACCGAUGGCGAAGGCAGCCCCCUGGGUUAACACUGACGCUCAGGCACGAAAGCGUGGGGAGCAAACAGG